This 497-nucleotide ribosomal RNA is filed under the name uncultured bacterium. RNAcentral's name for it is "partial 16S ribosomal RNA". It matches the Rfam family "Bacterial small subunit ribosomal RNA", at positions 28 to 507 of the family's 1533-position model. The record is from RNAcentral.
GAUGAACGCUGGCGGCGUGCCUAAUACAUGCAAGUCGAGCGAACGGACGAGAAGCUUGCUUCUCUGAUGUUAGCGGCGGACGGGUGAGUAACACGUGGAUAACCUACCUAUAAGACUGGGAUAACUUCGGGAAACCGUAGCUAAUACCGGAUAAUAUUUUGAACCGCAUGGUUCAAAAGUGAAAGACGGUCUUGCUGUCACUUAUAGAUGGAUCCGCGCUGCAUUAGCUAGUCGGUACGGUAACGGCUUAUCAAGGCAACGAUGCAUAUCCGACGUGAGAGGGUGAUCGGCCACACUGGAGCGGGGACGCCGUCCAGACUCCUACGGGAGGCAGCAGUAGGGAAUCUUCCGCAAUGGGCGAAAGCCUGACGGAGCAACGCCGCGUGAGUGAUGAAGGUCUUCGGAUCGUAAAACUCUGUUAUUAGGGAAGAACAGAUGUGUAAGUAACUGUGCACAUCUUGACGGUACCUAAUCAGAAAGCCACGGCUAACUACGUG